RNAcentral lists this ribosomal RNA (428 nucleotides) under Gemmatimonadota bacterium. RNAcentral's name for it is "Gemmatimonadetes bacterium partial 16S ribosomal RNA". It matches the Rfam family "Bacterial small subunit ribosomal RNA", at positions 355 to 775 of the family's 1533-position model. The record is from RNAcentral. Lineage: Bacteria; Pseudomonadati; Gemmatimonadota.
UAGGGAAUCUUCGGCAAUGGACGAAAGUCUGACCGAGCAACGCCGCGUGAGUGAAGAAGGUUUUCGGAUCGUAAAACUCUGUUGUUAGAGAAGAACAAGGACGUUAGUAACUGAACGUCCCCUGACGGUAUCUAACCAGAAAGCCACGGCUAACUACGUGCCAGCAGCCGCGGUAAUACGUAGGUGGCAAGCGUUGUCCGGAUUUAUUGGGCGUAAAGCGGGCGCAGGCGGUUUCUUAAGUCUGAUGUGAAAGCCCCCGGCUCAACCGGGGAGGGUCAUUGGAAACUGGGAGACUUGAGUGCAGAAGAGGAGAGUGGAAUUCCAUGUGUAGCGGUGAAAUGCGUAGAUAUAUGGAGGAACACCAGUGGCGAAGGCGGCUCUCUGGUCUGUAACUGACGCUGAGGCUCGAAAGCGUGGGGAGCAAACAG